RNAcentral lists this ribosomal RNA (549 nucleotides) under Erythrobacter sp. sed274. RNAcentral's name for it is "bacterial SSU rRNA". It matches the Rfam family "Bacterial small subunit ribosomal RNA", at positions 98 to 682 of the family's 1533-position model. The record is from RNAcentral. Lineage: Bacteria; Pseudomonadati; Pseudomonadota; Alphaproteobacteria; Sphingomonadales; Erythrobacteraceae.
GCGCACGGGUGCGUAACGCGUGGGAACCUGCCUUUAGGUUCGGAAUAACAGUUAGAAAUGACUGCUAAUACCGGAUAAUGUCUUCGGACCAAAGAUUUAUUGCCUUUAGAUGGGCCCGCGUUGGAUUAGAUAGUUGGUGGGGUAAUGGCCUACCAAGUCGACGAUCCAUAGCUGGUCUGAGAGGAUGAUCAGCCACACUGGGACUGAGACACGGCCCAGACUCCUACGGGAGGCAGCAGUGGGGAAUAUUGGACAAUGGGCGAAAGCCUGAUCCAGCAAUGCCGCGUGAGUGAUGAAGGCCUUAGGGUUGUAAAGCUCUUUUACCAGGGAUGAUAAUGACAGUACCUGGAGAAUAAGCUCCGGCUAACUCCGUGCCAGCAGCCGCGGUAAUACGGAGGGAGCUAGCGUUGUUCGGAAUUACUGGGCGUAAAGCGCACGUAGGCGGCUUUUCAAGUCAGGGGUGAAAUCCCGGGGCUCAACCCCGGAACUGCCCUUGAAACUGGAUGGCUAGAAUACUGGAGAGGUGAGUGGAAUUCCGAGUGUAGAGGU